Molecule: long non-coding RNA, 1013 nt
Organism: Papaver somniferum (opium poppy)
Lineage: Eukaryota; Viridiplantae; Streptophyta; Magnoliopsida; Ranunculales; Papaveraceae
Exons: 2
Source: RefSeq, a predicted model, not a curated record
CUUUCUUUGAUCUAAAGCUAAAGAUCUCAAAUCAACUAAUCUCGUUUCCGUUCCUUCCGAACAUGCAUUCCCUGCAAAACAGUGGAUUUGGGGUGAACUAGAAGAAGAAGAAAAAAAACUUGAACCAAGAUGCCGCAGCAUGAUAACAUUUCCUCUCAAAAAUUGCUUUUCUAAGAUUUUGUGGAAAUCACAGCACGCACUAGAAGAUCAAAGAACUCCAUGCCCUCUGGACCCAUGUCAGUAAGAAACUACUUCAUUAGUCUCUUCACUUAAGCUUUCGCUCGAAUUAAUCUCGUGUGACUUUGUUAACCAUUUAGGUUGAUGGUUGUUUAAUGAAAAAAGAGAACAUGAUUUUGAAGAGGUUAAAGAUUGACAGUAAGUAAAGUUUCCAAAAUCUUGUUGUUGCUAGUAACUACUCUACUCUGAGCUUCUGAGUCUUGCAUUAGGUUGUUGAUUCUUAUCAUGUUUCUCACCUAAACUUCAAACCAUUUAUAUGCAAUUGAAGAUUUGGACUUGAAAGCUCUUUAAGUCUUCGAAACCAUCUAUGUGGAUCAACAAGAAUUAUCAAAGUACCAAUAAUCCUUGCCAAAAAAAUGCAAGGCGAUUAUCGACAUGUGUAAGCUGAUAUGGGUCAAGCAGCUAAGAGGAUUUCCCAGCAAAUAACGUUCCAUCUAGUAUCUAUCUCUCGUGAAAACAAUUUACUGGUAGCCAAGAUCAUGUAGUACUUACAAGACACGGAUUCUCUUUUAUGAGUUUUACAGAACUUUGUGAGUUUCUCGAUUUUGGACUAAAUGAUCACAUGAUCUGAAAUAAUAAUGUAGUCACUAAGAACAACUUUGAUCGUUGGUCUCGGUUGUGUUUCCUUUGGGGUUGUAUUGUGUUGUUUUUUAGUUGUCUUGUACUCGGUUCGUCCACAUAUCUCGUUGUGUUGAUUUAAAUAAAUUUUCUUCUAUGUGUCUCGAUAAAGGAAGAAAACAUAUACCAUAGAUGAGAAGAAUUCAAUAUGAAUGGAA